AUCAAUUUUAUGCAUUAUUAAAAUACAUACAGAUGUGUACACUUAUUAUGCAUAUGUGGACAUUUAAACAUACACAAACACUGACACUCAAGUCCGUGCACAAGUUUCUCAAGAUGACUUUGAAGCAAUGAUAAUUUAUCAGUUUGGAUGAUGAGAAAAUACAGGAAAGGAUAUGAGAAGUUGGAACUUGGAAGUUUGUAACAAAUUGGGUUUGCAAUGAUUGUUUUGAGAUUCCAUGGUUUAUUUAAUAACUGCAGAGGAUAUCUCAUCCUCUUUUCCAAUUUGGGUUUGCAAUGACCUCUUUUUUCGUUUUUCUCAAGAAUCAACUAUUUGAGAAUGUUUGAUUGAUGAUUGUCAAUAGUUUGAUAUCUUCCAUACUUCUGAAGUUUUUUUCUAUUAUUUGUUUUUUCUAAUUUAUAUGCAGGCUAUUAGCCCAUGAAGGAAUAAAUGCAGAGCAAUUUGCUUGGGAUCUUAAAUCUUUUGAAUUAAAGAUGACUUUUGAAGAUGUUUUCCCUACUGAGGCAACAAUCGUGGAAGAGUAUCUACAACAGAAUCAUCAUGUACUUCAAUUGCUGUUAGGGGGGCAUGCCAGAGUCAUUGCUGAAAGGCCAUGAAGAAUCAAACCUGACAAAGAUUAAGCAAAGAAUCAUCAUCAUGCAUUCCAUGACAAAGUGAAGGCAAG
Molecule: non-coding RNA, 682 nt
Organism: Camellia sinensis
Lineage: Eukaryota; Viridiplantae; Streptophyta; Magnoliopsida; Ericales; Theaceae
Source: RefSeq, a predicted model, not a curated record